Molecule: ribosomal RNA, 472 nt
Filed under: uncultured bacterium
Lineage: Bacteria
Description: partial 16S ribosomal RNA
Rfam family: Bacterial small subunit ribosomal RNA
Source: RNAcentral
GACGAACGCUGGCGGCGUGCUUAACACAUGCAAGUCGAACGCUGAAGCUUGGUGCUUGCACUGGGUGGAUGAGUGGCGCACGGGUGAGUAAUACGUGAGUAACCUGCCCUUGACUCUGGGAUAAGCCUGGGACACUGGGUCUAAUACUGGAUACGACAUGUCACCGCAUGGUGGCGUGUGGAAAGUGUUUUACUGGUUUUGGAUGGGCUCACGGCCUAUCAGCUUGUUGGUGGGGUAAUGGCUCACCAAGGCGACGACGGGUAGCCGGCCUGAGAGGGUGACCGGCCACACUGGGACUGAGACACGGCCCAGACUCCUACGGGAGGCAGCAGUGGGGAAUAUUGCACAAUGGGCGAAAGCCUGAUGCAGCGACGCCGCGUGAGGGAUGACGGCCUUCGGGUUGUAAACCUCUUUCAGCACGGAAGAAGCGAAAGUGACGGUACGUGCAGAAGAAGCGCCGGCUAACUACGUG